This 299-nucleotide non-coding RNA is filed under the name Phascolarctos cinereus (koala). The record is from RNAcentral. Lineage: Eukaryota; Metazoa; Chordata; Mammalia; Diprotodontia; Phascolarctidae.
GUCAGGCAUGGCGGCUACUGCCUAUUUUAGCUUCUGCCAGGGAGCCUCAGGCUGGUGGAUUUCCUGGGCUCAGGAGUUCUGUGCUACAGUGAGCUAAGUCUAUCAAGUGUCCCAACUAAGUAUGACACUGAUAUGGUGAGUCCCCGGAACAGGGAGCCAUCAGGUUACCUAAGGAAGUGUGAAGCCUCCCAGGUCAGAAAAAGGGGCAGGUAAAAGUUCCCAUGCUAAUCAGUGUGGGACCAGGCUCUUGAGUCAACUCUGUACUUCCAGGCUCGGAAAGAUAGGAAGAUCAAGUCUUA